AACUAAGUAGUGGGGUCCAUGUUAAGUUGCAAACUUAAAGAAGCAAAUGCCUUAGUUA
RNAcentral lists this transfer RNA (58 nucleotides) under Pseudoniphargus longipes. Its description in RNAcentral is "tRNA-Cys". The record is from RNAcentral. Lineage: Eukaryota; Metazoa; Arthropoda; Malacostraca; Amphipoda; Allocrangonyctidae.